Molecule: long non-coding RNA, 211 nt
Filed under: Trifolium pratense (red clover)
Lineage: Eukaryota; Viridiplantae; Streptophyta; Magnoliopsida; Fabales; Fabaceae
Description: long non-coding RNA (TPRA_LNC011493)
Source: RNAcentral
UUCAAGAUGCUCUUGUGCUCGAGGCCAUUCAGCGCCUUUUGAAGUCGGAUGUUCCUUCGAAAGUAAAUGUUUUCGGUUGGAGGUUAUUAUUAAAUAGAUUACCAACUAGAACAGCUCUUCAUCAUCGUGGUAUUUUGACUAAUCAUCAUGAAUUAUCAUGCGUCUUUUGUUUUCAACAAGCUGAGGACGAAAAUCAUCUUUUCUUUUCAUG